AUAAGUACUUUCUUUUGUAUAAUUUAUUAAAUUUUACUUUUUAGUAAAAAGGCUAAAAUAUAUCUCUUAGACAAGAAGACCCUGUGAAGUUUUAUAUUUAAGAGUUUUGUAUCUAAGAGAAUAUUUUACUGGGGCGGUAGGUAAGACACAUUACUUGAGUAUUAAAACUUUUGUUAAAAUAACUAAAAUUUUUAAAUAAAAAAUAAACUACUCCAGGGAUAACAGCAUAAUUUAAUUUUAAAGUUCUUAUUGACAAUUAAGUUUGUGACCUCGAUGUUGGAUUAAAAGUCCUUUUCUGCGUAUAAGUAGAAUAAGGAGGUCUGUUCGACCUUUAAAAUUUUCCA
Molecule: ribosomal RNA, 344 nt
Filed under: Parabuthus pallidus
Lineage: Eukaryota; Metazoa; Arthropoda; Arachnida; Scorpiones; Buthidae
Description: partial large subunit ribosomal RNA
Rfam family: Bacterial large subunit ribosomal RNA (bases 39-344)
Source: RNAcentral